RNAcentral lists this long non-coding RNA (223 nucleotides) under Capsicum annuum. RNAcentral describes it as "long non-coding RNA (CANN_LNC010281)". Lineage: Eukaryota; Viridiplantae; Streptophyta; Magnoliopsida; Solanales; Solanaceae. The record is from RNAcentral.
GGGCUACAGCCUGACGGUUGCCCUGAACAUUAGUCACAGCUUGGUCUAGCGCCUGGAAAGCUGCCUGAAACUCUACAUAUAACACACUCUCAUUCUCAAGAUCUACUAGCUGAGGGGGUUGAUCAUCAACCCCACAGACUAAAUCUCUGUGAGGAGGCUACUCUGUAAAUGGAAAAAAAAAAGUGGAUGAAACUAAGAACCAACUUGAGCUCAUGCUCACUCG